This 802-nucleotide ribosomal RNA is filed under the name uncultured bacterium. RNAcentral's name for it is "bacterial SSU rRNA". It matches the Rfam family "Bacterial small subunit ribosomal RNA", at positions 68 to 865 of the family's 1533-position model. The record is from RNAcentral.
AGCACGGGUGCUUGCACCUGGUGGCGAGUGGCGAACGGGUGAGUAAUGCGUCGGAACGUACCGAGUAAUGGGGGAUAACGCAGCGAAAGUUGUGCUAAUACCGCAUACGCCCUGAGGGGGAAAGUGGGGGACCGCAAGGCCUCACGUUAUUCGAGCGGCCGACGUCUGAUUAGCUAGUUGGUGGGGUAAAGGCCUACCAAGGCGACGAUCAGUAGCGGGUCUGAGAGGAUGAUCCGCCACACUGGGACUGAGACACGGCCCAGACUCCUACGGGAGGCAGCAGUGGGGAAUUUUGGACAAUGGGGGCAACCCUGAUCCAGCCAUUCCGCGUGAGUGAAGAAGGCCUUCGGGUUGUAAAGCUCUUUCAGCUGGAACGAAACGGUACGCGCUAACAUCGUGUGCUAAUGACGGUACCGGCAGAAGAAGCACCGGCUAACUACGUGCCAGCAGCCGCGGUAAUACGUAGGGUGCGAGCGUUAAUCGGAAUUACUGGGCGUAAAGCGUGCGCAGGCGGAUUGUUAAGCAAGACGUGAAAUCCCCGGGCUUAACCUGGGAAUGGCGUUUUGAACUGGCAGUCUAGAGUGCGUCAGAGGGGGGUGGAAUUCCACGUGUAGCAGUGAAAUGCGUAGAGAUGUGGAGGAACACCGAUGGCGAAGGCAGCCCCCUGGGAUGACACUGACGCUCAUGUACGAAAGCGUGGGUAGCAAACAGGAUUAGAUACCCUGGUAGUCCACGCCCUAAACGAUGUCAACUGGUUGUUGGGGGAGUGAAAUCCCUUAGUAACGAAGCUAACGCGUGAAGU